UUUCCGUAGGUGAACCUGCGGAAGGAUCAUUAUAGAGCUCCUGCCCUAACGGGUCGACCUCCAACCCUGUGUAUUUAUACCUUGUUGCUUCGGCAGUCCGUCUAGGCUUCGGCUUAGCCAUGUUCUUCGCCUCGUGAGUGCCUGUCAGAAGGCACUAAAACCCUUGCUAUAAUUUUCGUCUGAGUAAAAACUUAAUAAGUGAAACCUUUCAACAACGAAUCUCUUGGUUCUGGCAUCGCUGAUGAACGCUGCAGAUCGGAAUAGCACACCUCUUAACUC
RNAcentral lists this unclassified non-coding RNA (279 nucleotides) under plant metagenome. RNAcentral describes it as "partial contains small subunit ribosomal RNA, internal transcribed spacer 1, and 5.8S ribosomal RNA". The record is from RNAcentral.